RNAcentral lists this ribosomal RNA (482 nucleotides) under uncultured bacterium. RNAcentral's name for it is "partial 16S ribosomal RNA". It matches the Rfam family "Bacterial small subunit ribosomal RNA", at positions 30 to 507 of the family's 1533-position model. The record is from RNAcentral.
AUUGAACGCUGGCGGCAUGCUUUACACAUGCAAGUCGAACGGUAACAGGCCGCAAGGUGCUGACGAGUGGCGAACGGGUGCGUAAUGCAUCGGAACGUGCCCAGUCGUUGGGGAUAACUACUCGAAAGAGUAGCUAAUACCGCAUACGAUCUAUGGAUGAAAGCGGGGGACCGUAAUGCCUCGCGCGAUUUGAGCGGCCGAUGUCAGAUUAGGUAGUUGGUGGGGUAAAGGCUCACCAAGCCAACGAUCUGUAGUUGGUCUGAGAGGACGACCAGCCACACUGGGACUGAGACACGGCCCAGACUCCUACGGGAGGCAGCAGUGGGGAAUUUUGGACAAUGGGCGCAAGCCUGAUCCAGCAAUGCCGCGUGCAGGAAGAAGGCCUUCGGGUUGUAAACUGCUUUUGUACGGAACGAAACGGCUCUGGUUAAUACCCGGGGCUAAUGACGGUACCGUAAGAAUAAGCACCGGCUAACUACGUG